CCUAUGACAUGGUAAUCAAUAGUAUUACAUUUUCCAUCCAUAAUAGUACAAUUGAUAGUGCUACUUUUAUCUUCCAUGAUUGGCCAAUCAGUAAUAUCACAUUUUUAGCCGAUGAGGAGCAAUCUGUAAUAACAUGAUUAGUAUAAAGCACCAUACAUAUCAUUUAGUUAUAUAAGUCUCAAUUAUAUUAAUUAAAUAUAACCA
This 204-nucleotide long non-coding RNA is filed under the name Elaeis guineensis (African oil palm). Its description in RNAcentral is "long non-coding RNA (EGUI_LNC042209)". Lineage: Eukaryota; Viridiplantae; Streptophyta; Magnoliopsida; Arecales; Arecaceae. The record is from RNAcentral.